This 112-nucleotide ribosomal RNA is filed under the name Chinchilla lanigera (long-tailed chinchilla). Lineage: Eukaryota; Metazoa; Chordata; Mammalia; Rodentia; Chinchillidae. The record is from RNAcentral.
GUCUAUGGCCAUACCACCCUAAAUGUGCCCAAUCUUGUAAGCUAAGCAGGGUCAGGCCUGGUUAGUACUUGGACAGGAGACAGUUGAAUAAAAAUGUAGAGUGACUGUAACA